CGGAACAGGCCGCAGACCAGUCUGCACUGUCAUUUGGAAGGCAGGCAGGGAGGUGGAAGAAGCCCCCGUCACCCUCCUCGCAGCUGCUGUGGCUGCCACCACCCCAUCCCGCCACGAAGCUGCCCGAUUUUCAAGAUCACUAUAGACCACCAAAUACUGUUGACUGGUACAAAAAUCUACUUAGACAUUUGAGAAAAUGAUCCAAAAUAUCUGGCAGAUAUUUUGCUGGGUCGACCAACAAGUGACUGGAGAGCCUUCACAAGAUUUCUAUUCAUUUUUCCACUACCAUGAAUUUUCCUAUUCUAAAAUAUCUGAAGUUCACACUGGGUAAGGAGGGUGAAAUAAUUGCUGCAGCAUCCUCUAGGUAACCUUUGCUGUCAGCAAGGAGCACGGAUGUUAAGGUUACAUCAACAGGGUUAAUUUAUUUAUAUUGUGCAUACUUUAGAGUUUAUGAUAUAGGUAUACACUUGAGAAUAUAAACAGCAAUGUAUCUGGCUACAUCCUCAUUUUUUAAAAAGGAAGAAAAGUAAAUACGACGAGUGUAUGUUCUGGCCAUCUUAAUGUUUUUGGAACCACUGACUAACUUGUGCAUAUUAUUUCACUGAUGCAAGCCUUAUAUGUUGCAAUUAAAUAAGGUCUGGGGUGCUGAAAAUAGCAGCUUCAAAAUGCAAAAGGUUGACUUACAAAGAAAUAAAGAAUAUAACCAAUACAUCUUCAAAAAUGA
Molecule: long non-coding RNA, 724 nt
Organism: Hemicordylus capensis (graceful crag lizard)
Lineage: Eukaryota; Metazoa; Chordata; Lepidosauria; Squamata; Cordylidae
Exons: 3
Source: RefSeq, a predicted model, not a curated record